CCUACGGGCGGCAGCAGUGGGGAAUUUUGGACAAUGGGGGCAACCCUGAUCCAGCCAUGCCGCGUGCGGGAAGAAGGCCUUCGGGUUGUAAACCGCUUUUGUCAGGGAAGACAUCUUCCGAGCUAAUACCUUGGGAGGAUGACGGUACCUGAAGAAUAAGCACCGGCUAACUACGUGCCAGCAGCCGCGGUAAUACGUAGGGGGCUAGCGGGAAUCGGAAUUACCGCGCGUGGUUGGGCCGCACGCGUGUGAAAUCCCCGGGCUUAACCUGGGAACUGCACUUGUGACUGUACGGCUGGAGUACGGCAGAGGGGGAUGGAAUUCCGCGUGUAGCAGUGAAAUGCGUAGAUAUGCGGAGGAACACCGAUGGCGAAGGCAGUCCCCUGGGCCUGUACUGACGCUCAUGCACGAAAGCGUGGGGAGCAAACAGGAUUAGAUACCCCGGUAGUC
Molecule: ribosomal RNA, 450 nt
Filed under: uncultured bacterium
Lineage: Bacteria
Description: partial 16S ribosomal RNA
Rfam family: Bacterial small subunit ribosomal RNA
Source: RNAcentral